This 2181-nucleotide ribosomal RNA is filed under the name Triticum aestivum (bread wheat). RNAcentral describes it as "partial small subunit ribosomal RNA". The record is from RNAcentral. Lineage: Eukaryota; Viridiplantae; Streptophyta; Magnoliopsida; Poales; Poaceae.
AUGCUAGCUGCAGAUAGCAAUACAGGGCACAAUAGGCAAUCAACACGCCCCAAAAGUGGCUAUGAACCUUCGGAUACAGAAACUGAGUGGCAUGAUAGCCCUUGGAAUGAUGCAAUAUUGAAAUCACAGCGGACUCGGUUGCCUAAAGAUCCUGCUAGGGACCCCCAAGUUGGUGCUAGAAGGCAAAACACAUCUCCGAACCGUGUAAGAGAUUAUCCUGACAAGAAAACUUCAAGCUUGAGGAAUAAUCGUACUCCUCCCAGGGUCACCGAACAGAGGCGCCAUACUUCCCCAUAUGCUGGUGGAAACAAUGAAUCACGCAAGAAGAGCAGCCGGACACCUCCCAGAUUUCGGCCUUCUAUGGAAAAAUUUAGUCGAUCAUCGAUCAAGGAGAGGAUAUCCCGUAGCCGGUCAAUUUCUACACCGAAACUACGACCUCAUGAGAAGGAGCAUCCUUCUAGAGUUCCUGCAUUCCGUGGCACUCCUGUCUCAACACAGGUAGAAAGAGACUCAAUUGAUGUUAUGAAAGGUGGUUCACAUGCAGAAAAUUGUUCCCCAGAGAUCAAUGAGUUGGGUGCAAACAGCAAGGGGCCUAGUUCCAAACAUAAUGAGUAUACAUGUACAAGCACAGAGUCUGCAGGUGACAUCUUCUUCUCCCGUGACUGUAGGGCCCCGCUUGCGAAAACAUUAGUAAAGAAUAACAGUAUUGACAAAUCCUUCACCUCUGAUUCAAACGUCGAUGAUGCUGAUGUUACUCAAGCAAAUAGCAAUAAUUUGGGCCAGACAUCACAGUUUGUUUCAGUUAGGACUGGUUUUUCACGAACUACAAACACCAGCCAUGCUAAUGGUCGGCACUCACAAGUUAGCAGUGGCACCACUUUGAGUAGGCGGUUAAACAGUGAUCGGUUUAGUGGGGAUAGUGGAAAGUUCAGUGAUUUCACUGAGAAACUAGUUGGAGGCGUCAUGAAAUUCACCUCUAGCAGGCAGAAGACCCAAAAUGAUGCUUGGUUUCCAUGUGCGAUUGGAAAGUCGUGCCGUAAACCAGAACCAGCGAGCCACAAAAAAAAUGAUGAUUCUGAAUCAACUUUUAUUCGGAAGGCACUUGUUGUGGAGAAGAUUAGACUUUUCUGGGCUGAUAAAUAUCGUCCACGGACUUUGAGUGGAUUUACUUGUCACAGGGAGCAAGUUCAACAGCUUAAACAAUUGGUUUCCCCUGAGUUUUGUCCUCAUAUCAUUCUCAAAGGGCCUCCAGGAUCAGGAAAGAGAUCAUUAUGCAGAGCAGUACUCACUGAGAUCUUUGGUGAUUCCUCUCUGAAUGUAUCUCACUAUUUGAAGAGUUGCAAUGCCCAGGGACCUGCAUCUGCGCCCAUUUUUGUCCCAUUAUCAUCAAGUGAUCACCACGUUGAACUCAAUAUGAGGACUCAAUCCAAGCAUGCUAGAUAUGCUUUGACAGCUCUGGCAAAUGAAAUGUCAAAUAAGCAUAAAAUUACUGAGAUAGCUGCAACCAAGAACUUCAAAGUUAUUGUUCUCUAUGAUGUUGACAAAGUUAGUGAGAACAAUCAGCGGUUGAUAAAAUGGAUAAUUGAUUCCUCCUCUGAUGCAUGCAAAAUAAUAAUGACUUGCCAAGAUGGGCCCAAUCUUCUUGAUUCUAUUACAAGCCGUUGCAAGCUUAUUAGCAUUAGUGUGCCAAAUACACGUGAGGUUGUGGAGGUUCUCACUCACAUAUCAAAAAGGGAGAGUUUCGAUCUCCCCGCAAGUUUGGCUUACACCAUUGCGACUCGAUCCGCGCACAACAUGAGGGAGGCGAUAUUGGCUCUGGAGGCAUGCAGAGCUAACAGCUACCCCUUCGUGGAUGGACAAGCUAUACCGCUAGGAUGGGAUGGUGUUCUUGAGGAACUCGCAGCAGAAAUUUUAGAAGAUCCUUCUCCCAAAAGGUUAUUUUUGGUACGAGGCAAGCUCCAAAAACUUUUGGUUGAAUCCGUGCCUCCUAAACUUGUUCUCCAGAAACUCGUAGAGCUGUUCCUGAAGGGAAUACAUGCUAACAUAAAGAGGGAUGUUUAUUACUGGCACGCCUACUACGAUAAGAGGUUGCCGGCUGGUGCCAGUGCACUGCUGAAACUGGAAGAAUUUAUCGCCAAGUUCAUGAGCAUCCACCGGAAGAGCUUGGCAGCCGAUUCAUGA